AAUUGAAGCAGAGGACAGUGGCGGACGGGUGAGUAACGCGUGAGGAACCUGCCUUUCAGAGGGGGACAACAGUUGGAAACGACUGCUAAUACCGCAUAAGAUUACAGUACCGCAUGAUACAGUGAUCAAAGGAGCAAUCCGCUGAAAGAUGGCCUCGCGUCUGAUUAGCUAGUUGGUGAGGUAACGGCCCACCAAGGCGACGAUCAGUAGCCGGACUGAGAGGUUGACCGGCCACAUUGGGACUGAGAUACGGCCCAGACUCC
Molecule: ribosomal RNA, 263 nt
Filed under: uncultured Oscillospiraceae bacterium
Lineage: Bacteria; Bacillati; Bacillota; Clostridia; Eubacteriales; Oscillospiraceae
Description: partial 16S ribosomal RNA
Rfam family: Bacterial small subunit ribosomal RNA
Source: RNAcentral